AGCGAACGCUGGCGGCAGGCUUAACACAUGCAAGUCGAGCGGACCUUUCGGGGUCAGCGGCGGACGGGUGAGUAACGCGUGGGAACGUGCCUUCCGGUUCGGAAUAACCCUGGGAAACUAGGGCUAAUACCGGAUACGCCCUUAUGGGGAAAGGUUUACUGCCGGAAGAUCGGCCCGCGUCUGAUUAGCUAGUUGGUGGGGUAACGGCCUACCAAGGCGACGAUCAGUAGCUGGUCUGAGAGGAUGAUCAGCCACACUGGGACUGAGACACGGCCCAGACUCCUACGGGAGGCAGCAGUGGGGAAUAUUGGACAAUGGGCGCAAGCCUGAUCCAGCCAUGCCGCGCGAGUGGUGAAGGCCUUAGGGUUGUAAAGCUCUUUUAUCCGGGACGAUAAUGACGGUACCGGAGGAAUAAGCCCCGGCUAACUUCGUG
Molecule: ribosomal RNA, 433 nt
Filed under: uncultured bacterium
Lineage: Bacteria
Description: partial 16S ribosomal RNA
Rfam family: Bacterial small subunit ribosomal RNA
Source: RNAcentral